AAGUUUCAGAAAAUUCCCAAAUGUAUAAAUACAAAAUUUGUAUAUAGUACAUACCUAUGUGUAUAUUCCCAUGUGAACUAUACAAACAGAUAGAAAAUAUACGAACCGCAACCUUCAUAGCAAACGAAACUAUAGCUAUGGAGCGCACAGAUAUGAUUCAUUUGAACCGAAUAACUUCUUGACAUAUGUAAUUAAUUCAAAAUUUUUGAAAAGCAAUAGUACGGUUUCAGCUGUUGUUAAACAUAUGCUGCACGUUGUUUGAAAAAUGCAAUGGCGAAACGUGGAGAGUAAUAUGAGAGCAGGAGCAGGUAUUCUUUAAUUUUCAUGGUCAAACCUGGUGAUGGAUUACCCUUGCAUAUAUGCUUCAAUUAUGACCGUGACAGGCCACCCUUUUUCAUGUAAGCAAAUUUUCACCUGAGUCUUCUGAAAGUUUCUCGAACAGUAAAGAAUGGAUAAUAAUGUUUAGUGUUGUCUGGAGCAGUGAUAUGAGGUCAAAAAGUUGAGUACCUGCAAAGAUGAAUAACGUCCAAGAAGUCCAAUGAACUCUAAAGUGUUUCUUCUAGCGCUUACUUUAGGUCAACAUGAACUUAGCACCAAUCAUAAAUCUGCCUCAACACUGCAUCUUAGCAACCACAACCAUGGAAACUGCUCCUCACUCCAAUCAGCAGUUGGAGUGUAGUGAGGCAUGCAUAACCAAAGGCACUAUCAUGGGAGACUGGACGUCAGAGAUAACAAGGACUCUUCUAACAUCAUGUGGUACUAUCAGAAGUUCAUAAGAUCUUCUGCUAAACCAGGUGUGAGUUCUUGUACAAGAGGUCCUUUGCAUCGAUACACAAUUUACAAGUAGAACAAGUGAGCAGGCAGAGUGCGGACUUGUAGGCAUAGAGCACCUGACACUUUUCUUGGCAAAGAAGGCAUGCCACGCAUCAUUCCGUCACAGAAGCAAUGUAAAAGCUGCCACCAUAGUUCUCACUAACCGAUGCCUGAAAAUGUGGAAGCAAGUUGUUGUAAACUUCUAUGAAAACUUUUGACCUUGCAGUUAACCUUCUUAAAAGACAAGAACAUAUGUAAACCUCUUCAAUAUCAGUUGAAAUUUUUAAUCUUAGAUACUGCUUGAUAAGCUCGCAUAAGCAACUAACAGCUUCAUCCCAUCCAUCAGUGCCGACAUCAGGGAGAAUGUAAAUCUUAGACAUAGUCCUCUGCAAUACAGAAGAUAACUGUUUCUUUGCCCCUGCUUUUUGAUACAUCUCGGCCAAAACGCACAAAAUCUGACAAUUGGUGGCUUUGAAUAUGUCAAUCCAUUCAGGUGGAUUUCCAACCCACAAGUCAAUGCUUGAAAUAGAAGGACUACAGUUCUGAUUAUUAGCACAGACCAAGGAAGCAUCCAGUGAAGAUUCAGUGUUCCUGUGUGCAGGGAGGAGUUCAAG
This 1427-nucleotide unclassified non-coding RNA is filed under the name Hevea brasiliensis (rubber tree). The record is from RNAcentral. Lineage: Eukaryota; Viridiplantae; Streptophyta; Magnoliopsida; Malpighiales; Euphorbiaceae.